GACGAACCGUGCAAACGUUAUUCGGAAUCACUGGGCUUAAAGCGCGUGUAGGCGGGACGGCACGUCGGUCGUUGAAAUCCCCCGGCUCAACCGGGGAAUGGGCGUCGAUACGACCGUCCUGGAGGAACGUAGGGGGACCUGGAACUUCCGGUGGAGCGGUGAAAUGCGUUGAGAUCGGAAGGAACGCCCGUGGCGAAAGCGAGGUCCUGGACGUUUUCUGACGCUGAGACGCGAAAGCCAGGGGAGCGAACGGG
Molecule: ribosomal RNA, 254 nt
Filed under: uncultured bacterium
Lineage: Bacteria
Description: partial 16S ribosomal RNA
Rfam family: Bacterial small subunit ribosomal RNA
Source: RNAcentral